This 627-nucleotide ribosomal RNA is filed under the name uncultured bacterium. RNAcentral describes it as "bacterial SSU rRNA". It matches the Rfam family "Bacterial small subunit ribosomal RNA", at positions 338 to 951 of the family's 1533-position model. The record is from RNAcentral.
CCUACGGGAGGCAGCAGUGGGGAAUCUUGCGCAAUGCACGAAAGUGUGACGCAGCAACGCCGCGUGCGGGAAGACGGCCUUCGGGUUGUAAACCGCUUUCAGUUGGGACGAAGGUUCUGCGGUUAAUACCCGUAUGGACUGACUGUACCUUCAGAAGAAGCCCCGGCUAACUACGUGCCAGCAGCCGCGGUAAUACGUAGGGGGCAAGCGUUGUCCGGAAUCAUUGGGCGUAAAGCGCGUGUAGGCGGCUGAGCAAGUCCGCUCUGAAAGCCCGAGGCUCAACCUCGGGAGGCGAGUGGAUACUGCUCAGCUCGAGUCCGGAAGAGGAGUGUGGAAUUCCUGGUGUAGCGGUGAAAUGCGCAGAUAUCAGGAGGAACACCAAUUGCGAAGGCAGCACUCUGGGACGUGACUGACGCUGAGACGCGAAAGCGUGGGGAGCAAACAGGAUUAGAUACCCUGGUAGUCCACGCCGUAAACGAUGGGCACUAGGUGUGGGAGGUGUCGACUCCUCCCGUGCCGGAGCUAAUGCAUUAAGUGCCCCGCCUGGGGAAGUCGGCCGCAAGGCUAAAACGUCGAAAAGGAAUUGACGGGCNGAGACGNGCCGACGGACGACGACGAGGGAGGAGG